RNAcentral lists this ribosomal RNA (588 nucleotides) under uncultured bacterium. RNAcentral's name for it is "partial 16S ribosomal RNA". It matches the Rfam family "Bacterial small subunit ribosomal RNA", at positions 355 to 1376 of the family's 1533-position model. The record is from RNAcentral.
UGGGGAAUCUUCCGCAAUGGACGAAAGUCUGACGGGGCAACGCCGCGUGAGUGAAGAAGGUUUUCGGAUCGUAAAACUCUGUCUUUUGGGGCGAACGUGAGUAUGGUGAACAAUCAUAGUCAGUGACGGUACCAAAGGAGGAAGCCACGGCUAACUACGUGCCAGCAGCCGCGGUAAUACGUAGGUGGCAAGCGUUGUCCGGAAUUAUUGGGCGUAAAGAGCGCGUAGGCGGGAUAGUCAGUCUGUUGUAAAGUGCGGGGCUCAACCCCGUGAUGGCAAUGGAAACAGCUAUUCUUGAGUGCAGGAGAGGAAAGUGGAAUUCCCAGUGUAGCGGUGAAAUGCGUAGAUAUUGGGAGGAACACCAGUGGCGAAGGCGACUUUCUGGACUGUGUCUGACGCUGAGGCGCGAAAGCCAGGGGGAGCGAACGGGAUUAGAUACCCCGGUAGUCCUGGCCGUAAACGAUGGGUACUAGGUGUGGGAGGUAUCGACCCCUUCCGUGCCGGAGUUAACGCAAUAAGUACCCCGCCUGGGGAGUACGGUCGCAAGACUGAAACUUAAGGAAUUGACGGGGUCAUAGCUGUUUCCUG